UUUGGAAUUUUGGACAAUGGGCGAAAGCCUGAUCCAGCGACGCCGCGUGGUGGAUGAAGGUCUUCGGAUCGUAAACACCUUUUGGCAGGGAACAAUUUUGAGUGUACCUGCAGAAUAAGAGGUUGCUAACUCUGUGCCAGCAGCAGCGGUAAUACAGAGACCUCAAGCGUUAUCCGGAAUCAUUGGGCGUAAAGCGUACCGACAGGUGGUUUUACAAGUCAGAAGUGAAAUCUUCAAGCUCAACUUGGAGACUGUCUUUUGAAACUGUACAACUAGAGGGACAAAGAGGAAGCUGGAACGAACGGUGUAGUAGUGAAAUGCGUUGAUAUCGUUCGGAACACCGAUAGCGAAGGCAGGCUUCUGGGUGUCACCUGACACUGCUAGGACGAAAGCGUGGGGAGCGAAUGGG
RNAcentral lists this ribosomal RNA (409 nucleotides) under uncultured bacterium. RNAcentral's name for it is "bacterial SSU rRNA". It matches the Rfam family "Bacterial small subunit ribosomal RNA", at positions 355 to 776 of the family's 1533-position model. The record is from RNAcentral.